CGCUAUUUGUUAUUUGUGAAAACUAUUUUCUCUAAACAAUAUCUACCACACAAAUUCUUCGGCACGCCACAAAAAUGUAUUUCCACCAUCAAAAUGCACAGCCUCAGCCUUGUGCAUUUAGAAAAAAAAAGUAAUACAAAAAUGAUACAAAAACAACCACCAAUUGAUUUGGAAAAUAAAGUGGCGAUCAAUUCCAGACAUCAUUGACUGAGUUUACAGCAGCUUCAGCCUUGAGCAUUUAGAAAAAAAAAAAAUCAAAACAAGAUACAAAAACUACAAACAAA
Molecule: long non-coding RNA, 284 nt
Organism: Episyrphus balteatus (marmalade hoverfly)
Lineage: Eukaryota; Metazoa; Arthropoda; Insecta; Diptera; Syrphidae
Exons: 2
Source: RefSeq, a predicted model, not a curated record